UACGGAUGGUGCAAGCGUUAUCCGGAUUCACUGGGUUUAAAGGGUGCGUAGGUGGGCAAGUAAGUCAGUGGUGAAAUCUCCGGGCUUAACCCGGAAACUGCCAUUGAUACUAUUUGUCUUGAAUACUGUGGAGGUCAGCGGAAUAUGUCAUGUAGCGGUGAAAUGCUUAGAUAUGACAUAGAACACCAAUUGCGAAGGCAGCUGGCUACACAAAUAUUGACACUGAGGCACGAAAGCGUGGGGAUCAAACAGG
This 253-nucleotide ribosomal RNA is filed under the name uncultured bacterium. RNAcentral's name for it is "partial 16S ribosomal RNA". It matches the Rfam family "Bacterial small subunit ribosomal RNA", at positions 524 to 776 of the family's 1533-position model. The record is from RNAcentral.